AAUAUAUUGAUUUUAUAUUCUAUAAGUUCAAUUAUUCCUGAAAAUUUUUGGUGGAGUCUGAGGCUUCCUGAAUACAGUCAUGUACCACAUAGCGACAAUUCAGCCAAUGAGUGACCACACCCAUGAUGGUGGUCCCGAAGAUUAGAAUGGAGCUGAAAAGUUCCUGUUGCCUAGUGAUGUAAUCGCUGUCACCAUGUCAUCAUGUGACACAUUACUGGUGUUUGUGGUGAUGCUGAUGUGAAUAAACCUACUGCUCUGCAGUUCUCUCCAGUAUAGCAAUACAAUUAUAGAAGUAGGCUGUGCCCCUGAGGUUCUCAGCUUUUCACCAUGAACAUGAUGUUUGUUUCCUUACAUCGCUCUAUACCCACUUUGCUGAGAAUUAUUACAAGUUGUAUUUUGUCAAGUGAUUGUUCUGCAUGUAUUCAGGUGAUUGUACUAUUUUAAUAUUUUACUUUGUUCCCAUGGUGUGUCACACUGAUUGAUAUAUAGAUGUCAAAUUACCUGUGACCCAUCCCUGGAAUGAGUUUCACUUGAUUAUGGUGUAUGAACCCUUUAAUGGAUUGUUGAAUUGGUUUACUAGCAUUUCAUUAAGGUUUUUGCAUUGAUGUUGAUUAGGGAUAUGGGCCUGUAAUUUUCUUCCCUUGUGGUGUCCUCAUCUGGAUUUUGUAUCGGUAUAAGGCUGGACUUACUGAUGAAUUCGGGAGUAUUCUGUUGUCUUCUAUUUUUGAAAGAAUGUGAGAUGGAUUGGUUUGAAUUCUUGAUGAAUUUUUGUGAAGAAUUUAGCAGUGAAAGUCUGUGCAGAGACAUUUCUUCGAGGAGUGGUUUUUGAUUUCUGCUUCCAUCUCCCUUGUGUAGUAAUCAAUCCAUUCCGAUUUUGUAUUUUUUCAUUUUUCAGCCUUGGUAGGUCCUCUGUAGGAAUUUACCUGUUCAUUCUAGACUGUCAUAUUUGUUAGCGUGUAAUUGUUCUUAGUAUAGUCUGCACCUCAAAGUGAUCUUGCAGUGCAUAAGGGACCACAUUCACAAGGGUGGUGCCAUAAGAUUACAGUAGAGCUGAAAAGUUCCUAUUGCCUUCUGACCUAGUAGCCAUCCUAAGGUUGUAGCACAACACAUCACUGUUUCAAAAGUGGUCUUUCAGCUUUCGUUGCCCUGGGAAACUUUUUGUCUCUCUUCUAAUUCUGAACACUUACUUUGCAGGGUAGAGUGGUAUUGGUUAGCAGCUUCUCUUUCAGCACUUGGAAUGUAUCGGCCCACUGCCUGCUCUCCUGCAAUGCUUCCGCUGGAAAACCUGCUGCUGGUCUUAACAAGUUGCUUUUUCUUGCUGCUUUUCAAAUUUCUCUUCUAAUCUUUGACAUUUGACUACUCCAUUACAUCAGUACUAUGUCUUUGUGUCGGUCUCUUUGGAUUCCUCUUCUUCGGUAUCCUUUGGCAUUCCUGGAUGUUGAAUGCCUUAUUAUGGAAGUUUGUAGCCAUCAUGUAUAUAAAUAAUCCUUGUGAAUAAGUUAUAAAUAAAGACUAAGUAGUUUCUCUAUCUUCUCCUUCUUGGGCCUCUGUGAUGUGUACUUUGGUCCGUCUGAUGUUGUGUCGUGAAUUCCUUAAGCUUCACUUUGCAAUCUCUUUUUCUUUUGGCUGCUGUGAUGAAUUUCACUACCCUGUUUUUGCCAGUCCUUUCUUCUGCUUUCCCUACUCUGCUGCUGAACCCCUCUAUGGAGUGUUGCCAUUCAGUUUCUGUGUGCUGUAGCUCUGUGAUUUGUUUUUGGCAAUGAGAAGUUCAACCUCUCUUUUCUUUAAAGAAAUUAUUGUUAAGAGAGAGUAGGAGGGAGGGAAAAAGAGAAGUAUGGAUGUGAGAGAGAAACAUUGAUCAAUGGCAUCAACCUGGCCUACAACCCAGGCAUAUGCCCCAUCGGGGAGUUGGCGACCUUGCAGGUUUGCGGGACAGGGCUCAACCUGCCGAGCCCCACUGGCUGGGGAAGGCAGCAACUUUUAAAGUUAGCAGAUCAAGUUCUUGUUGGGAUAGACUUGAGGUGGCUGUUGUGGGUGCCCCUCUGCGCUGAUCCCCGGGAUGACAGUCUUGGUGACUACUUGGAUUGCUUGUUUGAAAUGCUUGCUUUGUUUUCUGUACUGUUGGGAGGCAGGUGGGCACAGCUUCAGUGGCUUGUAAGGCCUGGGGUUUUGCAAACCUAGCUCUAUGGUCAUUAUCCUAAAAGUUGGGGUGCUUGGUCGGCAUUCAGGUCCUUCACUUCUCAGGUAGAAGGUGGAAGUUAGGUUCCCUCCUGAGUGUGUGAUUCUGAGCUGAGGGUGGGAUAUAUGGUAAGCGUGUGUCUCAGCCUUUAUUUAACUUGUUUUGAUAAAUAUUUUGAUAGUUUUUUCAAUAUCUUCUAGAGAGAGGGCAAGGGAGGUAGACAGGGAGAGAGACAUUGGUUGAUAAGCUGCCUUUUGCUCUGAUGGGACUGAACCCACAACCGAGGCAUGUGCCUAGACCGGGAAUUGAGCUGGUGACAUUUGGCUUCGUGAGACAGUGCCCAACCCACUGAGCCAUACUGGUCAGGGCUUGAUAAACAUUUUUUAAAAUACAUAGCAAUUUUCUCAUUAGUCUGAUGUGUAGGAUUCACUCAGCUGAGGUCUGCAUCUCUUCCGGAGGAAACUGCUCCCUGAGUAGGUGGUGUAAAUCAACUUUUGAAUUUUUCUUGGCUUUGAAAAUUUUUACCUUUGGAAGCAUUUUCUACAGUGAUAUCUUCAGCAAUAUUUUAAUCUCCUGAGUUUUCUUGGUCUUGGGUAAAAUGUACCACUUCAAUGGCAGUCAGAUGAGUCCUUUCUGUCAUAUCUCUGGGGUGGGGAACCGUUACUCUGAGUUUGCAUUUCAGUCUGGUGUUGACUGGACUAUUUCAUGUCAGAAUUGCUUCCCUUUGAGAAAGAACUGAGUUAAGAACUUGGCAUUGUGGCAACUAAGAGGAAUGUUAAUUUGCUACACAAACUUCAUUAGCUACACAGAUGUAGAAGUCCAUUGAUUUCUUAAAGAUAUACUGCAUGGACUUCUAAUUUUUACUAUUUCAUACUUUUUAUCUAUUGAAUGGUUUUAAAUCUUGGAAAACUUGGUUUUUGGCCUAGUAUAUGAUUUGUCUUGGUAACUGUAUCAUAGGCACUUAAAAUUUAGGUCCAUUUAUUCUAUAGUGUUUGGGUAUAGUGUUUAAGUGCUCAUUAGGUUGAGAUGGUUGAUAGUGUGGUUUGUAACUUCUAAAGUGUCUCUUCUAUAAAUUACUGAAAUAAUAGAAUUUAAAAUCACCCACCUAUGAUUGUAGAUUUGUCUCCUACUCCCUUUAUUGUGUCAGAUCCAUUUAAUAUCACCUAACUAUUCGUGAUUGUUACGUCUUUCUUCUAACUGGACCCUGUUCCAUUACGAAAUGUCUUCAUCUCUGAUACUCAGCUGUCUUGAACUUCAUCUGAAAUUGAUACAUUCACUCUAGCCUCCCUGUACUUGUGUGUGUAUGGGGUGUGGUCAGAUCAUUUUUUCCUUUCAUCCUAUAUCUUUUUGUAUAAAGUCUUUCAGACAGCGUAUACUUGGGAUAUGUUUUAACCUUUAAGAGUUGGUGUGUUUAUUCAAUUUAUGUUUAACACAAUUAUCGAAAAAUUGGAUUUAAGUGUUUUAUUUUUUAUGUUGUUUUCUUGUGUCAUCCCUUCCAGUGUCUUUAUGUUUUUCAUUUUGGUUUUGUUUUUGUGUUGUUUGCUUGUUUCUUUUUUUUCUUUUCUGCCUUCCAUUUCGUAAUAUGACUUGUUUUAGAGUUUUUAUUUUUAUCUUUAUAACUACCUCCUAGCAUUUUAGUGGGUGUUCCAUUGAUUACAAUACUUAUAUUUAGUUUGUUUUAAGACUGUUACAUCAGUUAACAUAAGAAUGUUUUAGCUGUAUUUACCCAUUUCCCCAGUCUGCCCCAUUUCAUGGUAGAAUUGCCAUGUACGGGGCAGGGCAGAAGUAGGUGCAUAGUUGUGGGUGUGAGAAACAGUUGUUAAAGUUACUGCAAUAAUCAUAACUGUGUUUUUCCACAUGAAUGACUGUAAACCUACUUGUGCCCCAUCCUGUGUAUCAUAUCUAUGUAUACUCUAUGUAGGUCAAUGGUGUAAUUGCUUUAAGUACCUAUUGUAAAGAAUUUAAAAUGAAAAAGUAUUUCACAUGUACUUAAAUAUUAAUGAGUUUCAUUGCUAUUCAUCCUACUGUGAAGAUACAUGUUUCUUCUUCUUUCCGUUCAUCAUUUGUCUUUCUGGGGGGCUUUUCUCAGCACCAGGAUGACUAGUGAUAAUUUUUCUUAGUUUCUCUUAAUCUGAUAGUCUUUUGUCCAGCCCAUUUUAUUGAGGGGUGUUGUUCCUGAACACAGCAUUGUAGUUUGCCAUCUUCCCCACUUGUACUUCAAAGAUAAUGUCCCAUGGUUCCCUGGUCUUUAUUGGAUGUAACCAUUUAUUUCUUCCAUCAAUGGGCAUAUAAAAUAGUGGAAACAUAAGUUUUGGUUAGCUGGACAGGUUUUGAUAGAGGCUUUAACAGUAGUUAUGGAGAAGUCCGAAGGCAUGUUGUACGUCGUGUUCUCUGUGACUGUUGCAGAGUUGUGAUAAAAUGAGCUCCUUUGACAGGGAAUUGUUUGGGUUCUUGCCUCACCCUGAGAGUCAUACAGAAACAACCAUCACAUAUUUUUAAGUGGCUAGCGUAGCUGUUACGUCCUUUAUAGUACAGGAAUAAAUUUAGAGAGGAAAUGGUGCAAAGAGAAGACAGUGUAAAAAUGUUGGUGUGAGUUUAUGAUAAUGAUAUUAUUUCAGUUAUUCAAUUGACAACGCUACCAUUAUUGUUGAAGCAUGAAAAUGGGGAAUUUUAGGUAAACGUGCUGUGCUGUGGACAUUUCCCAUGAUUCACACAGAAUUGACCCAGCUCUUGAAAUACCAUGUUUUUAUUUUUUUUAAGACAACGUAAUCUUUAGUGAAGACCUCUGAAUUUUGGUGAGAUGCAUUUAGUCUUCUACAAUUGUAUGUGUGGUUUGAAAGGUGUGUCUUUUCCACCGUGACGUGAGUUCCGCAUGUGGCAGUAUCUUUAAUGUACACCAUCACAAAGACAUCUGCCGUCCUGUAACCUUAGAAACUUAGAAUCAGUCUUCCAAUGUACGUGUCAGAUAUUUGUGUCAGUGGAGACAGAAGCACUCAGUCCUGAGAAACUUACUCUUCUCUUUCAUCUUGUCAGUUUGCCUUUCAUAAUCUGUGAAUGUCUGCCUGUCCACCAUCUAUUUAUCCAUCAUUCAUCGUAUUACCCGUUUGUCUAUUCAUCGCUUCUGCCAUUAGAGACAUGAGUCAAGGGAGGAUGGCAGUGGCAGACCAAAGGAGUCACCCUACAGGGGUGGCAGUGGUCUCUGAGGUCAUGGUGGAUAGGAGGAGGAAGAAAGGAGAAAAGGGAGAGUGAGGACUGAGGGACUGCCCCCCACCGCGAACUCUGCUGUUAUUACUAUAUUUGAAUUGAAAUGACCAAAAUAGAUCUGCCUCCAUUUUAUGUCAGCCUCAUGUGAGAAAAUUGAGAUUAAAUGGGAGGACACUGUGCUUUGAGUCCUGCUGGAUUCCACAUUUAAAACUCAUUUUUCCUGACAUGUAAUUAUAUCUCCACAGUCUGUUAAACCAGCCCACGAAUUGGCAGGUCUUUUGGGUAAAGGGCCAGAUGGCAAGCAGGUCCCGUCUUUCAGACUUUGUGGUCUGUGUUGCAGUUAGUGUGCUCUGCUGUUACUGCGAGAGAGCCGCCAAACUCAGUGUGUAUUGGGAUGCCUCUGGUGUGUGUGUUUCAAUAAAACUUUAUUUAUAACACAGGUUACAGGUGCGAGUCUACCGGUCCUUGAAUUGUAGAGCACUGGUUGAAACCAAAAUUAACUCAGCCACAUGGUAAAAAUAUCUGAGUAUCAUAUCCCCAUAUCAUUUUUAUGAAGAGUCAUUAUAGUUCCUUACUUUCAUAAGAGAAUGCUACGAAUGAGUACUAGUGGCCAGUGUAACCUAUACCAUGUAAAACCGCACUGUGUAAAGGAUUGGAGUGAUAUGAGCCCUCUCCACGUAUAGAUGGAAACAUUCCUGACACCUUCUACAUGUAAGGUCCCUGAGUUAGUGUCCCAAAUCCUGCUGGCCUCCUUUUCCCCUUGGGUACAGUUUGAAACAAAAGGUUCUCUCUCUCCUCUCCUUGGGCACUGAGUUGGGUCUGUUUUGAGUUCAUCUGAGCCGUUGAAAUUGUUUCAGCAUCUCAGAAUAGGAUUGGUUUAUUUCAAGGAUGUAAUUGAACCUCGUUUAUCAAAAUUUAACAGCCAGCAAUUCAGGUGUGGGCAAAAGUUAAGUUCGUUGUUGUAAGUACACAAAACAGUGCAUUUAUUCUUGCAUUGUUAUUUAUGGAUUAUUGUAGUCUUUUCCACACGAAGAACUAUAAACCUACUUUUACCCUUAUAUAUGAGUGAAGCCAGUGGAGAUGAUCUUUAAUCCAAGUAAACAGUGAUUUCCACGUUUGGUAUUGUUUGUCCAUUAGCUGCAUUGGAGUGUUUAGAGGAGAGAAAGAGAAUUUACAACCUGCCAACUGAAAAUGAAAUUGGGGCUACUUUGUAUUUUAUAGUCAAUUACAAAUUGUGUGUGUAUGGUUCCUUGAAACUCACAUGAAAAUUUUCGUGUUAAUAGUCUGUGAAAGGCUAACUCAAAUUAAUUAGAAAAAUACAAACAUCCCCGUCUAAAAACAGGAAAGCCUAUACAUACGAAUUCAUAACAGGAGAGUAUGAUACAUGGCCAAGAGCAUAUGGAAUAAUUACAAAUAUAAAUUAAAUGUGUGUGCAAUUGCACACACAGCAAAACAAAACAAUUGGUUACCUUUUUCACCUAUCAGAUUAAGAGAUACAACAUGUGGAGAAUUUUGGACUCCUGAUACAUUAAAAAUCAUUCCAGGAGACAGUGGAAGAGAUAUGUUAGAUGAAAAUCAGCACAUUUUGACUAACAAUUUUAGUUUUAGAAAUUUACCUAGAGGAUAUAAUUCGUAGUGUUUAAAGAUGUAUGUAAACCUAAGAGUCCUUGUUGCAGCCUUAGUUAUACUUGUAAAAUUAGAAGUAACCUGUUUAUCAAUUUAUAAUGCCUGGGUUAUUAGUGAUCCAUGUAGCAAAUUGGGUUGUAUUUAAUUAUAUAUAGUAAUGUGUGUUCAAAAUAACUGUUAUGAUCUAGGUUUUUCAAAAGUUCAUUUUUUCUCCAGUUACUGAAUUACUAACUCUGUUUUAGGCAUUAAUAUUGUAUUUCUUUCAUGUGAAAUGAUAUAUGCUUGUGUUUUUUUGGACAUGGUCAAUAAACUAAUUUUAUGGGAGGAAUAUU
This is a long non-coding RNA of Phyllostomus discolor (pale spear-nosed bat), 7341 nucleotides long. RefSeq lists it as uncharacterized. Lineage: Eukaryota; Metazoa; Chordata; Mammalia; Chiroptera; Phyllostomidae. The transcript has 2 exons. The record is from RefSeq and is a predicted model, not a curated record.